AAGGAUUUAAGUUAACCAAACUAAGAACCUUCAAAGUUCUAAAUAAAGAUAACUCCUCUUUAAGCCUUA
Molecule: transfer RNA, 69 nt
Filed under: Leucocelis sp. LEU01
Lineage: Eukaryota; Metazoa; Arthropoda; Insecta; Coleoptera; Scarabaeidae
Description: tRNA-Trp
Source: RNAcentral